RNAcentral lists this ribosomal RNA (424 nucleotides) under uncultured prokaryote. RNAcentral describes it as "bacterial SSU rRNA". It matches the Rfam family "Bacterial small subunit ribosomal RNA", at positions 355 to 796 of the family's 1533-position model. The record is from RNAcentral.
UGGGGAAUCUUGGACAAUGGGGGCAACCCUGAUCCAGCCAUGCCGCGUGAGCGAUGAAGGCCUUAGGGUUGUAAAGCUCUUUCACCGGUGACGAUAAUGACGGUAGCCGGAGAAGAAGCCCCGGCUAACUCCGUGCCAGCAGCCGCGGUAAUACGGAGGGGGCUAGCGUUGUUCGGAAUUACUGGGCGUAAAGCGCGCGUAGGCGGGCUGUUAAGUCGGGGGUGAAAUCCCGGGGCUCAACCCCGGAACUGCCUUCGAUACUGGCAGCCUAGAGGUCUGGAGAGGUGAGUGGAAUGCCGAGUGUAGAGGUGAAAUUCGUAGAUAUUCGGCGGAACACCCGUGGCGAAGGCGGCUCACUGGCCAGAUACUGACGCUGAGGUGCGAAAGCGUGGGGAGCAAACAGGAUUAGAUACCCCCGUAGUCC